RNAcentral lists this ribosomal RNA (497 nucleotides) under uncultured bacterium. RNAcentral's name for it is "partial 16S ribosomal RNA". It matches the Rfam family "Bacterial small subunit ribosomal RNA", at positions 28 to 507 of the family's 1533-position model. The record is from RNAcentral.
GAUGAACGCUGGCGGCGUGCCUAAUACAUGCAAGUCGAGCGAACAGACGAGGAGCUUGCUCCUUUGACGUUAGCGGCGGACGGGUGAGUAACACGUAGGUAACCUACCUAUAAGACUGGGAUAACUUCGGGAAACCGGAGCUAAUACCGGAUAAUAUUUCGAACCGCAUGGUUCGAUAGUGAAAGAUGGCUUUGCUAUCACUUAUAGAUGGACCUGCGCCGUAUUAGCUAGUUGGUAAGGUAACGGCUUACCAAGGCAACGAUACGUAGCCGACCUGAGAGGGUGAUCGGCCACACUGGAACUGAGACACGGUCCAGACUCCUACGGGAGGCAGCAGUAGGGAAUCUUCCGCAAUGGGCGAAAGCCUGACGGAGCAACGCCGCGUGAGUGAUGAAGGUCUUCGGAUCGUAAAACUCUGUUAUUAGGGAAGAACAAACGUGUAAGUAACUGUGCACGUCUUGACGGUACCUAACCAGAAAGCCACGGCUAACUACGUG